AAGGAAGCGAUUCCGGCGGGGGAUGGGCAUGCGGCGCAUUAGCUAGUCGGCGGGGUAACGGCCCACCGAGGCGACGAUGCGUAGGGGUUCUGAGAGGAAGGUCCCCCACACUGGUACUGAGACACGGACCAGACUCCUACGGGAGGCAGCAGUGAGGAAUAUUGGUCAAUGGGCGGGAGCCUGAACCAGCCAAGUCGCGUGAGGGAAGACGGUCCUAUGGAUUGUAAACCUCUUUUGCCGGGGAGCAACGGGGUCCUUGCGAGGGCCUAAUGAGAGUACCCGGAGAAAAAGCAUCGGCUAACUCCGUGCCAGCAGCCGCGGUAAUACGGAGGAUGCGAGCGUUAUCCGGAUUUAUUGGGUUUAAAGGGUGCGUAGGCGGGCUGUUAAGUCAGCGGUCAAAUGUCGGGGCUCAACCCCGGCCUGCCGUUGAAACUGGUGGCCUCGAGUGGGCGAGAAGUAUGCGGAAUGCGUGGUGUAGCGGUGAAAUGCAUAGAUAUCACGCAGAACUCCGAUUGCGAAGGCAGCAUACCGGCGCCCGACUGACGCUGAGGCACGAAAGCGUGGGUAUCGAACAGGAUUAGAUACCCUGGUAGUCCACGCAGUAAACGAUGAAUGCUAGCUGUCCGGGGCUUCGGUCCUGG
This 641-nucleotide ribosomal RNA is filed under the name uncultured bacterium. RNAcentral's name for it is "bacterial SSU rRNA". It matches the Rfam family "Bacterial small subunit ribosomal RNA", at positions 202 to 842 of the family's 1533-position model. The record is from RNAcentral.